This 397-nucleotide RNase P RNA is filed under the name Hamadaea sp. RNAcentral's name for it is "RNase P RNA component class A". It matches the Rfam family "Bacterial RNase P class A". Rfam says of the family: Ribonuclease P (RNase P) is a ubiquitous endoribonuclease, found in archaea, bacteria and eukarya as well as chloroplasts and mitochondria. Its best characterised activity is the generation of mature 5'-ends of tRNAs by cleaving the 5'-leader elements of precursor-tRNAs. The record is from RNAcentral. Lineage: Bacteria; Bacillati; Actinomycetota; Actinomycetes; Micromonosporales; Micromonosporaceae.
CGAGUCGGCCGGGCGGUCGCGUCAUCACUGCGGGCCCGCGGUGAUGCCGAGGAACGUCCGGACUCCAAAGGGCAGGGUGGUUGUUAACGGCAACCCGGGGCGACCCGCGGGAAAGUGCCACAGAAAACAGACCGCCCGACUCCAUCGGAGAUCGGGUAAGGGUGAAACGGUGGGGUAAGAGCCCACCAGCACCCCGGGUGACCGGGGUGGCUCGGUAAACCCCACCCGGAGCAAGGCCAAGAGGGACCCACGGGUCCUGCGCAGGCGUUCGAGGGCUGCCCGCCCAAGCCUGCGGGUAGGCCGCUGGAGCGCAUCGGCAACGGUGCGCCGAGAUGGAUGGCCGCCGCGCCCUCUCCGGAGGGCGGCACAAAAUCCGGCGUACAGGCCGACUCGUCCG